UUCGCCCUUAGAGUUUGAUCCUGGCUCAGGAUGAACGCUGGCGGCGUGCCUAAUACAUGCAAGUCGAGCGAACGUCUUAGAAGCUUGCUUCUAAGACGUUAGCGGCGGACGGGUGAGUAACACGUGGGCAACCUGCCUGUAAGACUGGGAUAACUUCGGGAAACCGAAGCUAAUACCGGAUAGGAUCUUCUCCUUCAUGGGAGAUGAUUGAAAGAUGGUUUCGGCUAUCACUUACAGAUGGGCCCGCGGUGCAUUAGCUAGUUGGUGAGGUAACGGCUCACCAAGGCAACGAUGCAUAGCCGACCUGAGAGGGUGAUCGGCCACACUGGGACUGAGACACGGCCCAGACUCCUACGGGAGGCAGCAGUAGGGAAUCUUCCGCAAUGGACGAAAGUCUGACGGAGCAACGCCGCGUGAGUGAUGAAGGCUUUCGGGUCGUAAAACUCUGUUGUUAGGGAAGAACAAGUACAAGAGUAACUGCUUGUACCUUGACGGUACCUAACCAGAAAGCCACGGCUAACUACGUGCCAGCAGCCGCGGUAAUACGUAGGUGGCAAGCGUUAUCCGGAAUUAUUGGGCGUAAAGCGCGCGCAGGCGGUU
Molecule: ribosomal RNA, 600 nt
Filed under: uncultured Bacillus sp.
Lineage: Bacteria; Bacillati; Bacillota; Bacilli; Caryophanales; Bacillaceae
Description: bacterial SSU rRNA
Rfam family: Bacterial small subunit ribosomal RNA
Source: RNAcentral